GCUAACCGCCCCGCCCCCCCGUCCCCAGGAACCGGAAGUUCCCUUAUCGCUCCCAUCGUCCCGCCUGCACUCGUAGCUGCCGGCUGGCCGGGCCGGGGCGGCCAUGAGCAAGCGGAAGGCGCCGCAGGAGAGCCCCAAUGCGGGGAUCACAGACUUCCUGAGCGAACUGGCAAACUAUGAGAAGAAUGUGAAUCGAGCUAUCCACAAGUACAAUGCGUACAGAAAAGCAGCUUCUGUAAUAUCCAAGUAUCCAAGCAAGAUAAAAAGUGGAGCUGAAGCAAAGAAGCUGGAAGGAGUAGGGACUAAAAUCGCUGAGAAGAUUGAUGAGUUUUUAUCCACUGGAAAACUACGUAAGCUUGAAAAGAUUCGACAGGAUGAUACAAGCUCAUCUAUCAAUUUCCUGACCCGAGUUAGUGGCAUAGGUCCUUCUGCAGCUAGGAAGUUUGUGGAUGAAGGGAUAAAGACAUUGGAAGAUCUAAAGAAAAAUGAACACAAGCUAAAUCAUCAUCAGCGAAUUGGGCUAAAAUAUUUUGAAGACUUCGAGCAAAGAAUACCUAGAGAAGAGAUGUUACAGAUGCAGGAAAUUGUAUUGAAAGAGGUUAAAAAACUGGACCCCGAAUAUAUUGCUACAGUCUGUGGCAGUUUCAGGCGAGGUGCGGAAUCAAGUGGGGAUAUGGAUGUUCUCCUGACCCAUCCAAGUUUAACUUCUGAAUCAACCAAACAGGUCUUAAAGAGGAAUGAGGUACCUUUUUGUAUGGAGCGAACCAACAGAAUAGGAAACAAAUCUCCCACGCCAAAGCUUUUGCACCAAGUUGUAGAACAACUGAAAAAAAUCCACUUUGUCACAGACACAUUGUCAAAGGGUGAUACGAAAUUCAUGGGUGUAUGUCAGUUGCCAAGCAAAGAAGAUGGAACCAAUUUUCUAUACAGGAGAAUUGAUAUCAGGCUGAUCCCCAAGGAUCAGUAUUAUUGUGGGGUACUAUACUUCACAGGCAGUGACAUAUUCAAUAAGAACAUGAGAACUCGUGCCCUGGAAAUGGGCUUCACAAUCAACGAGUACACAAUCCGGCCCUUGGGAGUUACUGGAGUUGCUGGGGAGCCCCUCCCAGUAGAGAGUGAAAAGGAUAUCUUUGAUUACAUACAGUGGAAGUAUCGAGAGCCAAAAGAACGGAGUGAAUAACUUGCAUUCAAAGUUUCGCUAGCUAGUGCUCACUUAUUUUGUAGCUUUUAUGAAUAAUCAGCGGAGUCAAAACUAGGUGCAUAUUUAUUGCUUGAACAUUACUUCAGAAGCUUCUUUGGCAGAUGUUUAAGCGAGAUCGUUGUGGCAGCCCAGUGAGCGGUGGUCGGCAAGACAAACCAGGGCCACAAUCACAGCGUUGGAAAAUUUCUGGACCUUGAGCAAUAUCUUUGUGUCCCCGGCGGGAACAGACCAGUCCUUCACGGAGAACUGGCUUACAGAUUUUGGUCCAGAAAUGGCGAGCGCAGCAAAGCCCAAAGGCACAAUCUGAUGUGCGAAGGCAGCUUUCUCCCUCUCGACCUGCAAUGCCUCAUGGUAAAGAUAGUUGCUUGUUUUAAAGAAAUGCUGGAGAGCUCGAUGAUCUCAACAUUAGCAGGAGGUCCCCAACUGACCCCCAGUGCUCUCACCUUUCUGGUGCCCUGCACUUCAGCUGAACUCUUGAUGCUGUUGUAGUCUAGGACCAGGGCUACCAAUGGGGAACAGACGCAGCUGAGCCCCAGCAGCAAGACUGCCACCAUUCUUCAGGCAGGUUGAUCUGUGUUUCCCCCUGUGAGUUCUACAGCGCUUACCCGUUAUCUAAGAUGUGCAAAGCUUGAAAACAACACAGAUUCAGCAAAUAUGGGAUAUUUGUGAAUCUUUUUAAAAGAAAAAAUCUUGAAUAAAAGUCCUUUUCUUAUAUUUUACAUCUCUAACCUAAGAGAAAAAUCUGUGGAGAGGAGCUCUGUCCUUCCUGGGGUAUUUAUAGCCAAGUUUGCUGUCCUUUCCAUCCCCUCCUCUCCUCAUUUCCUUUCUCUUCAGCCCACACAGACUUCAACAAAUCUCUUCAAAUCUGUUUGAUCAAUAGUUCAAAACAAGGAUUCACUAAAAUGAGCAAGGAGGUAGGGCGGCAGCAGCUACCUCUCCUCAGGGGCUGAGCCACUCCUAAUUAUUGUAUAUCAAAGUUAGUUCAAAGGGACAGCAGAAGAGCAGGAUGUUUGUAUCAAAGGCAGACAUUGCUAAUCACCUGAAUUUCCUACCCUCCUUAAUCCCUUUGCAAAAUGUUUUUUUCCAAGAUCUGUUUUCACAGCUAAUUGUGCUCCAAGAAAGAGUGAGUGAUUCAUGUGGGCCAGUCUGCCAAUUACUAAACAUUUAUCCCUGGUAUGUUGGGAAUAUAGAAAAAACUGUCUGGUUAGCUCUGGCAUCCAGUCACAAUUAUCACUUAGUUCAAGGCAGCUGCCAAAAUAAUCUCUGCUCAAGUCAGAUGUGUUUGGGAAAGCUUUCUUGCUUCCUGUAGUGGAAUAAAACUGUUUGAAGCUAGUGUUCAUUCAGAAAACUAGGAUAUGUAUCUGCUUUGAUCCUGACUCAAGUUGGGGGCGGGGGGUACUAGUAGUAAAAUCACAGAAUAUUUAUCUUCACAAAAUGUGAUUGGUAUCUUUACUGUCAUCUGUAUCACAUUGCCUUAACUUGAAACAAUUGGAACUGGAUUAUAGAUCUCCAGCUGAUAUAUGCAGAAUUUGACAUGCCUCCAAUCUCCCCAAACAGAAAAGUCAUCUUCUCUCUCAGAACUUUGCCAUUCAGUUGUCAUGUUGAAACAUCACCCAGGACAGAUUGGUAGUGGAAAGCCUGCAUGUAUGCCUUAAGCUACUCUAUACUAAUGUUUUAAAGUUAGAAAAAGAAUAAAGUACCUAAUGUUUUUAUCCAUUGUACGUUUCCUGUCAACACUCCCAAGUUAAUAAAUAUGAUCUGCAUAUUAUGCCAUUAA
This is an RNA transcript of Gopherus flavomarginatus (Mexican gopher tortoise), 2978 nucleotides long. It is a transcript of the gene named DNA polymerase beta, with no coding region annotated. Lineage: Eukaryota; Metazoa; Chordata; Testudines; Testudinidae. The transcript has 18 exons. The record is from RefSeq and is a predicted model, not a curated record.